RNAcentral lists this ribosomal RNA (293 nucleotides) under uncultured bacterium. RNAcentral describes it as "partial 16S ribosomal RNA". It matches the Rfam family "Bacterial small subunit ribosomal RNA", at positions 505 to 796 of the family's 1533-position model. The record is from RNAcentral.
GUGUCAGCAGCCGCGGUAAAACGUAGGAGGCGAGCGUUAUCCGGAUUUACUGGGUGUAAAGCGCGAGCAGGCGGCCUGAUAAGUGGUGUGUGAAAGCGCUCUGGCUCAACCGGGCGAGGACAUGCCAGACUGUCGGGCUGGAGGUAGGUAGAGGCGAGUGGAAUUCCGGGUGUAGUGGUGAAAUGCGUAGAGAUCCGGAGGAACACCAGUGGCGAAGGCGACUCGCUGGGCCUGACCUGACGCUCAGACGCGAAAGCAUGGGGAGCGAACGGGAUUAGAUACCCGCGUAGUCC